AGUCGCGCCUGCGCGCCGCCGCGCGCCGGGCCCACGCGCUUCCCUGCCGAGCCGGCUGGCAGCCGCGCGGCGCGUGCUCCGUCACUCACCCCGCCCGCCACGCGCCCUCCGCGCGCCGCCCGGCGGGCACAGCGAGGCAGAUGAAGUACAUCCUGGUCACGGGCGGGGUGAUCUCGGGCAUCGGCAAGGGGAUCAUCGCCAGCAGCAUCGGCACCAUCCUCAAGUCCUGCGGGCUGCAUGUCACCUCCAUCAAGAUCGACCCCUACAUCAACAUCGAUGCCGGCACCUUCUCCCCGUACGAGCACGGGGAGGUGUUUGUCCUGGACGAUGGAGGGGAAGUGGACCUGGACCUUGGUAACUACGAGCGCUUCCUCGACAUCCGACUCACCAAAGACAACAAUCUGACUACUGGGAAGAUCUACCAGUAUGUCAUCAACAAGGAGAGGAAGGGAGACUAUCUUGGCAAAACUGUCCAAGUUGUUCCCCACAUCACCGAUGCUAUACAAGAAUGGGUAAUGAGGCAGGCACGAAUUCCUGUAGAUGAAGAUGGCAUUGAACCCCAAGUUUGUGUGAUUGAGCUCGGUGGGACGGUAGGCGAUAUUGAAAGCAUGCCUUUCAUUGAAGCUUUCCGUCAGUUCCAGUUCAAAGCCAAAAGAGAGAAUUUUUGUAACAUUCACGUCAGUCUAGUUCCCCAGCCAAGCUCUACAGGAGAGCAGAAGACUAAACCCACCCAAAACAGUGUUCGUGAACUCAGAGGUCUUGGUCUCUCACCAGAUCUGAUUGUUUGUAGGUGCUCCACUCCACUGGAUACCUCAGUAAAAGAAAAGAUUUCCAUGUUCUGUCAUGUUGAACCAGAACAGGUCAUCUGUGUUCAUGAUGUCUCUUCUAUCUACCGGGUUCCUCUGUUGUUAGAGGAGCAGGGAGUUGUUGACUACUUCAGACACAGGCUUGACCUUCCCAUUGAGAGGCAGCCCAGGAGGAUGCUCAUGAAGUGGAAGGAAAUGGCUGACAGGUAUGACCGUCUCCUUGAAACAUGUUCCAUUGCACUUGUUGGCAAAUACACCAAGUUUUCAGAUUCCUACGCAUCUGUUAUUAAAGCACUGGAGCAUUCUGCACUGGCUAUCAACCACAAACUUGACAUUAAGUAUAUUGACUCUGCUGACUUGGAGCCAGAUACUCUGCAGGAAGAACCUGUCCGAUACCAUGAGGCAUGGCAGAAGCUGUGUGGUGCUGAUGGAGUUCUGGUUCCUGGUGGAUUUGGUGUUCGAGGGACAGAAGGCAAAAUUCAAGCUAUUUCUUGGGCAAGAAAACAGAAAAAACCUUUCUUAGGAGUUUGUUUGGGAAUGCAGUUAGCAGUUGUGGAGUUUGCACGCAGUGUUCUUGGUUGGCAAGAUGCUAACUCGACAGAAUUUGAUUCCAAAACUGCUCAUCCAGUGGUCAUAGACAUGCCGGAACAUAACCCCGGGCAAAUGGGUGGGACCAUGAGGCUUGGCAAGAGAAGGACACUCUUCCAAACCAAGAAUUCGGUCAUGAGGAAGCUGUAUGGAGAUCAUGAUUUCUUGGAAGAGAGACAUAGACACAGAUUUGAGGUCAAUCCAGAAUUGAAAAAGUGUUUUGAAGAGCAAGGUUUGAAGUUUGUAGGCCAGGAUGAGGAGGGAGAGCGAAUGGAAGUGGUUGAGUUGGAAGAGCAUCCUUUCUUCGUUGGUGUUCAGUACCACCCUGAAUUCCUCUCUAGACCAAUUAAGCCAUCUCCCCCAUACUUUGGCCUCCUCUUGGCAUCUGCAGGAAGACUCACGCAUUAUCUACAAAAGGGCUGCAGGCUCUCACCCAGGGACACCUACAGCGAUAGAAGUGGCAGCAGCUCACCUGACUUGGAGAUAACGGAGCUGAAGUUUCCAUCAGUAAAUCAUGACUGAUUCCUGGUAACUUUUCAUGACCUCAACCUCUUUCCUUACGGAAAAAAUUCCUUGCCCAGUCUUUCCUCCUGGCAUCUGAAUGUUUCACAUCAGUUGGUAGAAAACUGGCACACCAUGAAAAAUGCACAUGUUCCAGCUGUGCUGAGGGAUGCAGAAUACCUCGUGUCCGUGUAACAGAUGUGGAUCUGUCUUCGCUGAAGAGUCUUCAUUAGAUUGCUCCAGGCAUUCUUACAGCAAUAGCUUGAACACUGUCAGCUUUGGGCUUUCUUAAGUUAUGGUUUUAUAAUUUUCAUUAUGAAAUCCUGUCCCUUUAUUUCCUCAAAUCUGUCCUUUGUUUAUUUUCUGCAUAGAUUCUGUAUUUCUGGAGGAGAGCUCAUCACAGCACAUGCACCUCUUGACUUGCUUCAGUUAGCACCGUCUUGGAGAAAAAGAGCAGAUUUGGGUAUGAGAUUUGAUGUGUAGGGGGGAGUCCAGCCGCGCGCGUCCGGCCUGACACGUGGUAACGCCGGCAGGGGUUCGUACCUUGGACACUGACAGCUGAGUUGUUUCCUCCGGCCUUUCUGCUCCCUCAGCAGUCUUCAUCGCUUACUGGUGAAAUUAUGUGGAUGACACUAGAUUUUGGAGGCUUGCUCAGUUCUUGAGCUGUGCUGUGCUGCAGAGGAUGAGGCUGUUCAGCUUUAUGCAGUCUUUUUUUGUGGGGGGGAGGGGAGGGGGGGCAGGGAAUGCUUUGUUCUUUCUUGUGUUUUUGUUUGUUUUUUGUUUUUUUUUGGUUUUUUUCAGUAGUAUUUAAAAAAGUUUGGCACUGGUAGUCUUGGUGCACUCAUUGCCGGCAAUGAACUUUUAACUGGGAAAAUCUUCCUGGAAUAGAGUUAAUCUGGAACAUGAUCAGCUCUAACUGUGAUAUGUCACUCUGCAGGGAUGCAAUUAACUUGGAUCGACUUGGGGGGGGAAAAAAAAAAAAAAAAAUAGCAAAACUGUCAGGAAAGCCCAUUGUUGCCUGAAUUGAGGCGUAACUGUUAGCCCUUUCUAUGCCAGUGUUUGCUGGUGCUGCUUCUUGGGCUGGGAAAUUUCAACUCCUUGCAUCAAGGGGGAGGUACAGAAAAGGAAGUGAACUACUUCAGCUGCUGCCUUGCCAGCUCCCGCUGUCACCGCCUGGGACUGAGCAGGUCCUGCUGUGCUUUUUCCUCGAUGGGAAGCGGAGCCUUCGCUGCCUCUCACAGGGCGGAGCUGCGUGCGGCCGGGCUGCUUCCCGCCGCGGUGUUACUCGGCUGAGUUCCCAGACAGGCGCUGUCCUACGGUGACGAGCUCAGCUUUGCAGUUCUGGGGUGGGAAAUGCACUUGUGCUUUUCUUUUUUUCCUUUUCCCCUGCCUUUUGCUGCAGUGUAAUCAGCACAGUUUUUGAUCUUUAGUAAUUUAGAAGAAAGGAAGAAAGUGUCUCAGUUGUCUGAAGUGGUGUGUGUUCAGACCUCUUUAGUUCAUUGAAGUUUGGAGAAAGCUGUACGUCUUGAGCCUGGCUGAGUACUAACUGAUGCCAACCUUUAAUUAAACACUGUCCUGUCUCAUCUUCAGUGAUCUUUUCCACAACCGUCUUGCUUUAUUCCUCAAUUAUUUUAAAUAUACUCUGUGAAGCUGCUUUGACCCGGGAAAGCUUUGAGCAUUCUUCAUACGUGCCAAUUGUAACAGUUCUGCAAAAAUGAUCAGCCAAGCGGAGAUGCUCUUUGUACUGAACAGACACUGGCCGUGAAAUGGCUGAUCCUCUAGCAGUGUGAGAUCACUCCUUAUCUGUAGUACAACUUUAUUUGUUUUCUUCUGAAAUGUUUUUGUUUCUGCCAAAACUGUGCAACUGACUCAGUCAUUAAAUGCUUAUUUGUAAUAAAAUAAGUAGCCAAGA
Tyto alba (common barn owl) is the source of this 3807-nucleotide RNA transcript. It is a transcript of the gene named CTP synthase 1, with no coding region annotated. NCBI's taxonomy places the organism in Eukaryota, Metazoa, Chordata, Aves, Strigiformes, Tytonidae. The record is from RefSeq and is a predicted model, not a curated record. The transcript has 19 exons.